Molecule: ribosomal RNA, 497 nt
Filed under: uncultured bacterium
Lineage: Bacteria
Description: partial 16S ribosomal RNA
Rfam family: Bacterial small subunit ribosomal RNA
Source: RNAcentral
GAUGAACGCUGGCGGCGUGCCUAAUACAUGCAAGUCGAGCGAACAGACGAGGAGCUUGCUCCUCUGACGUUAGCGGCGGACGGGUGAGUAACACGUGGAUAACCUACCUAUAAGACUGGGAUAACUUCGGGAAACCGGAGCUAAUACCGGAUAAUAUAUUGAACCGCAUGGUUCAAUAGUGAAAGACGGUUCUGCUGUCACUUAUAGAUGGAUCCGCGCCGCAUUAGCUAGUUGGUAAGGUAACGGCUUACCAAGGCGACGAUGCGUAGCCGACCUGAGAGGGUGAUCGGCCACACUGGAACUGAGACACGGUCCAGACUCCUACGGGAGGCAGCAGUAGGGAAUCUUCCGCAAUGGGCGAAAGCCUGACGGAGCAACGCCGCGUGAGUGAUGAAGGUCUUCGGAUCGUAAAACUCUGUUAUUAGGGAAGAACAAAUGCGUAAGUAACUAUGCACGUCUUGACGGUACCUAAUCAGAAAGCCACGGCUAACUACGUG